Molecule: ribosomal RNA, 253 nt
Filed under: uncultured bacterium
Lineage: Bacteria
Description: partial 16S ribosomal RNA
Rfam family: Bacterial small subunit ribosomal RNA
Source: RNAcentral
UACGAAGGGGGCUAGCGUUGCUCGGAAUCACUGGGCGUAAAGCGCACGUAGGCGGCUUUUUAAGUCAGGGGUGAAAUCCUGGAGCUCAACUCCAGAACUGCCUUUGAUACUGGGAAGCUUGAGUCCGGAAGAGGUGAGUGGAACUCCGAGUGUAGAGGUGAAAUUCGUAGAUAUUCGGAAGAACACCAGUGGCGAAGGCGGCUCACUGGCCCGGUACUGACGCUGAUGUGCGAAAGCGUGGGGAGCAAACAGG